Molecule: long non-coding RNA, 2545 nt
Organism: Falco peregrinus (peregrine falcon)
Lineage: Eukaryota; Metazoa; Chordata; Aves; Falconiformes; Falconidae
Exons: 2
Source: RefSeq, a predicted model, not a curated record
AAGAAGGAAAUGGCAUUGCUCCCCUGUAUUUCUGUGUUCUUGAGUUCUUCAUGAGUGACAUCAGCAGGGAGCAUUUCUGGCUGAAAAUGCCUGGGUACAAACCCCUCCACCAGAGUCUCAGCCUUUGCACGGCCAGCAGCUUCCCACUCCAUCUUGAUAUUCUGCUGGUGUAGCAGUCUACUCAUAAGCCAGAAGAAACCACUGUGAAGUGUCAACUUACUUCUCAAUAGCACAGGGACAAAAUACUUCCCAGCCAAAUCCAGUCUAUCAAAUGAUGUGCUGCAGAACUACAGGGUCUGAUCGGAGGUGAUCUUCCAUCCUGCAGCACCAGGGGACGCUAUGGAAUGUAAACACAUGGGGUUUUUUUAUUAAAAGUUUCAGUAAAAAAAUAGAAUAAGAAUGUGAAGCCUGGGCACAGAUGGACAGAAAUAUUAAGAAGCGUCCAUUGGUCCUGGAUAUAUUUUGAGCACUUUUCCAAUUUAUUGUUUUGUGAAAGUAGGAUGCAAGUGUCUAAACACAGGUGUGGCUGUAGUUUACCACAUGCAAUGAUGCCUUCUGGUCAGCCAUGUACCAGAAAAUAGAGGAAAAAUAACAGUGCUUGCCGAGCAGUGGUUUCCAAAUGAUUGCUUGGGCAUUUAAAUAAUUAGGUCUAGGAAUUACAGCAGGGAAUGACAUGCCAAGGUGCCUAGGAAGAGCUGGUCAAAACAUUUGUUAUGAAAACAGGAAAAAUCUAUUGCAGUAUAUUAAUUUUUUUCCCUCUGGGAUACAUUUAACACUUCUUUGAAGUGUUAGCAAUAGAAUAAAGAAUUUCCAUGGAAUGUUUCACCAGAUGAUUAGCUGGGCAAUAAACAUGUAUUUGUUUUGGUGACUUCCUCAGCUUCUGGUCCCUUGUUCCAUGCCUGUUACUUAAUGGUGACUCAGUAAAAGCCUCUGGGAGCCUUCUCCAGGCGUCAUGCUGCAGCACCUCCACGUGAGCCCCUGCCCACAGCAGCAGUCCUUUCUCGGGGGUCCUCUUGUCUUCAGGGCAUCUUUAUUGUGCUGACCAGUGCCACAAUCCCCCACCACCCAUGAAGAGGGAGGCUUCCCACAGCAGUCUUCUGUUUAAUGACCUCACUCAAACCAGUAGAAAGGAGAAACUGGUGCCGAUAGUGAGAUCUCACUGGCUGCACUUCCCAGAAAAGGUACCAUUUUGACAGAGGGAAACUUCUUCACGGAAAUGCUCAGAGAAGCGAAUAAAGGCAUAAAUUUAGCUAAACUGACACUAAAACUUAUUUUGAGUCUCCUAAAUGAAGGUAAAUUGAACCAAGGUCCCCUUGAUUCUGAAACCCUUUAGAGAUUUAAUGAUUCAGGUCAUUGUUUUGCCUGUUUAAUAAUGCAUUAAUUCAUUGUGAAUUUAAGCUCCACAGACUUCAGGUAUUUUUUUGGGGGUGUGACAUUUUGUUUUAGUUCUUUGUAUGUAGGGAAUCAUCACACGGAUGUAGGGAAGUAGAGAGCAGAGGGAAAUCAACCUGCUAGAGGAUUUGCAGCAGACCUGCAGUCAAAAGACUUUUCAGAUUCAUAUUGACUCAAUGUGUUUUUGUUGCUGUGAACUAUGGAGAAUACUGGCGGGGUCUGCCAGCUGGAGGGAUUUCAUAUAUGCUGUGGAUGGGUGAGGUGGGUCAGGUCCAUCCCACCCACAGACCAUGGCACUGGGGCGGUGAGACCCACACUGAUGAUGACUGGGGUGCCUGGCACAGCACAGGGAGGGUCAGUGCCAUGUCCUGCCACACUGCACCUGCACAGCUUGCUAGGCUGUAGCACGGCUGAACCUGCCACCAGGAAGGGAGAUGCUGCUGCCAAGUUACCCCUGCUUAGCAACAGGGCUAAGGCAAAGGCUUACACUAUUAAACAGCUCACUUCGUUAUGCUCAAACCACUGUUCUCUGUCCACUUUCUGGUUGGUUUUUUGUGGUUUGGGUUUUUUUGUUGUUUUUUUUUAAUCUUGCGGAGCUAUUUGCUUAUCAUAGUGGACCAUUGUGCUUAAGGGAGCACAGAUAUUGUCUGCACAGUUUGCUCCUCUAGGCUUUUGCCUUGUUCUUGUCUGCCUGGUACCGCACACUGUUACUGGCUCAGAUCAAAUACAGCAGAAAUGUCUUUGGGAUGCAAGUGCACUUUUUCUUUUCUCCCACAGAUGCCUACUGGCAGCAAUAGUAUGAAAGAUUUCUCCCUACAUAAAACCAAAGUAGAGGUGAGGAGAUUUGUUCUGCCAGUGUAGUGAUAAACCAUGAGAAACCAAGCUCCAUCUGCCAGACCCGGCUAGGCAGAUCUCCGCCAGCUUUCACAUCCAAAGCUGAGACCAACAGCAUUGUUGCACUAUGUGGGCAGGAAUGAACCAGGGAGACAUUUCCCAGCAUGGGGAGAACAAUUCUCUUCCUUUCUCAGGCAGUUUUAAGUAUUAGCAACCAUGGUAACUGGAAUAGAAACGUAACCAGUUUGCCAUGCAUUCAACUUGACACAAUAAUCAUUGCAGAGCAGUCACGUUAAAAAUAAACAUGACUUGCACCAGA